This is an RNA transcript of Pan troglodytes (chimpanzee), 6876 nucleotides long. It is a transcript of the gene named dynein 2 intermediate chain 1, with no coding region annotated. The transcript is spliced from 28 exons. The record is from RefSeq and is a predicted model, not a curated record. Lineage: Eukaryota; Metazoa; Chordata; Mammalia; Primates; Hominidae.
ACUGGGAGAGGCCGCAGGGCACGCUGGGCAGCGCCUCUGGGUCCUCUGCUGCUCCUGCCUGUCGGUUGCUAGGCGCUGGGACGCGCCUCCCGAAGGGUGCGGGGCACAGGUGGCCUCUUCGGGGUGGGCCGCGCCUGGCCGGGGCCGAGGACACCGCGGCCGCCCGGGCCUGCGGGAAGCGAUGGAGCCCGGGAAGAGAAGAACCAAAGAUGAUACCUGGAAAGCAAAUGACCUCAGAAAACAUCUCUGGGCCAUACAGUCAGGUGGUCCCAAGGAAGAAAGAAAGCACAGAGAGAAGAAGCUGCGUAAGGAGUCUGAGAUGGACCUUCCUGAACAUAAGGAGCCGAGGUGCAGGGAUCCCGACCAGGAUGCCAGGAGCAGAGACAGGGUGGCCGAAGUCCACACCGCUAAGGAGAGUCCUCGUGGGGAGAGGGACAGAGACAGACAGAGGGAGAGGAGAAGAGACGCAAAAGACCGGGAGAAAGAAAAGCUGAAGGAGAAACAUCGAGAGGCAGAGAAGUCUCACAGCAGAGGAAAGGACAGGGAAAAAGAAAAAGACAGAAGGGCCCGGAAGGAAGAACUCCGGCAGACCGUGGCCCACCACAACCUGCUGGGCCAGGAGACACGCGACCGGCAGCUCCUGGAGCGGGCAGAGAGGAAAGGCCGCUCAGUAAGUAAAGUAAGAAGUGAAGAGAAAGAUGAAGACUCUGAAAGAGGAGAUGAAGAUAGAGAAAGAAGAUACCGAGAAAGAAAGCUGCGGUACGGAGACAGCAAGGACAACCCUCUCAAGUACUGGCUUUAUAAAGAAGAAGGCGAGAGGAGACACAGGAAGCCCAGAGAGCCAGAUCGAGACAAGAAACACCGAGAAAAAAGCAGCACAAGGGAAAAAAGAGAGAAAUAUUCCAAAGAGAAAAGUAAUUCAUUCUCUGACAAAGGGGAAGAAAGACAUAAAGAAAAGCGACACAAAGAAGGUUUUCAUUUUGAUGAUGAGAGGCACCGAAGCAACGUGGAUAGAAAAGAGAAAUCAGCAAAAGAUGAGCACAGGAAAAGGGAAUCCAAGGACGGUGAACACAGAAAUCGAGGUGCAAGCUCAAAAAGAGAUGGGACCAGCAGCCAACAUGCUGAGAAUUUAGUAAGGAAUCACGGAAAAGAUAAAGAUUCAAGACAGAAGCAUGGCCACGAGGAAGGCUCUUCCGUGUGGUGGAAGCUGGACCAGAGGCCGGGAGGCGAGGAAACUGUGGAAAUUGAAAAGGAAGAAACUGAUUUAGAAAAUGCUAGAGCUGAUGCAUAUACAGCCAGUUGUGAAGAUGAUUUUGAAGACUAUGAAGAUGACUUUGAGGUUUGUGAUGGCGAUGAUGAUGAAAGCAGUAAUGAACCUGAGUCAAGAGAAAAACUGAAAGAACUUCCUCUAGCUCAAAAAAAGGAAAUACAAGAAAUUCAAAGAGCUAUUAAUGCAGAAAAUGAAAGGAUUGGGGAGUUAUCUUUGAAACUGUUUCAGAAGCGAGGUAGAACAGAAUUUGAAAAGGAGCCCAGGACAGAGGUGGCAGAACUCAGCUGGGCAGUGCUGAUAGAGCGUUCUUUAAACUUACAGCUAAAGGGCACCUGUCCUGGUAGAGAUACAAACAGUUCCCCUUCCAGAGCCUCCGUUUGUGGAAUUUUUGUGGAUUUUGCCUCAGCUUCACACCGUCAAAAGAGUCGGACUCAGGCCCUUAAGCAAAAGAUGCGAAGUACAAAACUGCUUCGGCUCAUUGACUUAGAUUUUUCAUUUACUUUCUCUCUCUUGGAUCUACCACCAGUAAAUGAAUAUGACAUGUAUAUCAGAAACUUUGGGAAAAAAAAUACCAAGCAGGCAUAUGUUCAGUGUAACGAAGAUAAUGUUGAAAGAGACAUUCAAACGGAGGAAAUAGAGACCAGGGAAGUGUGGACCCAGCACCCAGGAGAAAGUACUGUUGUGUCUGGAGGCAGUGAACAAAGAGAUACCUCUGAUGCUGUAGUUAUGCCAAAGAUUGAUACUCCAAGGUUAUGUAGCUUUCUGCGGGUGGCUUGUCAGGUGAUGGCCGUUUUGCUGGAAGAGGAUCGCUUGGCAGCUGAACCCAGCUGGAAUCUUAGGGCUCAAGACAGGGCCCUGUAUUUUAGUGACAGCUCAUCUCAGCUGAACACCAGUCUGCCAUUCCUUCAAAAUCGAAAAGUAUCCUCCUUGCACACCUCCCGAGUUCAGAGGCAGAUGGUGGUCUCCGUUCACGACUUACCCGAGAAGAGCUUUGUGCCCCUGCUGGACAGCAAAUACGUCCUCUGUGUGUGGGAUAUUUGGCAGCCUUCAGGGCCACAGAAGGUUCUGAUAUGUGAGUCCCAGGUCACGUGUUGCUGCUUGAGCCCUUUGAAAGCAUUUUUACUGUUUGCCGGAACAGCGCACGGCUCGGUUGUCGUCUGGGAUUUGAGAGAAGACUCAAGGCUGCAUUACUCUGUGACGCUGAGCGAUGGCUUCUGGACGUUCCGGACCGCCACGUUUUCCACCGAUGGAAUCCUUACCUCAGUAAACCACCAAAGCCCUCUUCAAGCAGUAGAACCUAUCUCAACGUCCAUCCACAAAAAGCAGAGCUUUGUGCUUUCACCCUUUUCUACUCAAGAAGAAAUGUCAGGUUUGUCCUUCCACAUCGCUUCCUUGGAUGAGAGUGGGGUUCUCAAUGUGUGGGUGGUUGUUGAAUUACCAAAGGCAGACAUCGCAGGUUCAAUAAGUGAUUUAGGUCUGAUGCCUGGAGGGAGGGUCAAGCUGGUACAUAGUGCUCUGAUCCAGUUGGGUGACAGUCUUUCCCAUAAAGGUAAUGAAUUUUGGGGCACUACACAAACACUGAAUGUUAAAUUUCUGCCUUCAGAUCCUAAUCACUUUAUUAUUGGCACAGACAUGGGUUUCAUAAGCCAUGGCACAAGACAAGAUUUGAGAGUGGCUCCCAAACUAUUCAAACCUCAGCAACAUGGUAUAAGACCAGUGAAAGUUAAUGUCAUUGAUUUUUCACCAUUUGGAGAACCGAUAUUUUUGGCCGGCUGUUCGGACGGAAGCAUCAGGCUGCACCAGCUGAGCUCCGCGUUUCCGCUCCUGCAGUGGGACAGCAGCACGGACAGCCAUGCGGUCACCGGCCUGCAGUGGUCCCCAACCAGGCCUGCUGUAUUCCUGGUGCAGGACGACACAUCCAACAUCUACAUCUGGGACCUCCUCCAGAGCGAUCUGGGUCCUGUCGCCAAACAGCAGGUCUCCCCCAACAGGCUGGUGGCCAUGGCUGCGGUGGGUGAGCCCGAGAAGGCUGGUGGCAGCUUCCUGGCCCUGGUGCUGGCCAGGGCGUCUGGCUCCAUCGACAUCCAGCACCUGAAGAGGCGGUGGGCGGCCCCGGAGGUGGACGAGUGCAACAGGCUGCGUCUGCUUUUGCAGGAAGCCCCAUGGCCAGAGGGAAAACUGCACAAGUAGCGGGUGUGGCUGAGAGGACGGCGUUUCUGUAAUGACCCAGAUUUAAAAGACAUAAGGUGGAAUUCAGCAUCAAGGCGCCCCGUGUUUCGUGUCUGGUCAGCUGCCCUCUGCUUUCCGCAGUACCUCAUGGCUGUGCCCUCGCACAGUAGCGGAGGACAGAAAGGCCCUGGGGCCUUCAGCCUCUCUGCUGACAGCACCGAUCCAUUCACUAGGGCUCUGCCUCUCAAAGGGCCCCGCCCCUUAACAGCAUCACCCUUGUGCUUAAGUUCCAGGCUUUGAAUGUUGGAGGGACACACACAUUCAAACCAUAGCACAAAGACAGGAGAGUUCUGGGGUGAGGACAGGAAAAUCCCAGAAUGUGUCACAAACACCCGUCCCUCUGUCCCAUCACCCUCCUAGAAUGUUCCCAGCACCGUGGGCCAUCGAUGGGUCUGUGAGGUGAACGGAUGGGCACAGUUAGGUCUUCUCACUGGGGCACAAGAUCGCCUCCGCUUACUCGUCUUAGACCUGGAAGGUGUCUGGGAGGGACCCACCAGACCGGCUGUGACGCUGCAGACACAGCCCCCUCCCCAACGGCAGGGCUGCACGUCCCGCGUGGGCCUCUCCAGCCACCCGAGCAACCGCCAGCCUUUCUUUGCUUUUUAAUCGUUGAUUUGAAACUGUUGGCCGCUGAAUUCCAGGUGCCUGCUACAGCGCCUGCUGUGUCAGUAGAGGCUUAGCCAAUCCUCAUUCAACAAAUGGCUGGAAUUUGUUCAUCUUCCGCCUGCAUCUUCGUGGUACUCAGGGUCACAGUCACGUGGGGAAGGAAGUGGACAGGCACGCGGCCUCUCUCUGCAUCUUCACGGAACCCAGGUUCACAGUUGCGUGGAAAGGAAGUGGAGUGGACACACGGCCUCUCGAGUCCACACCCACUCACCGUCCUUGCUGCUGUUUUGCAACCCGCUUGAUGAUUGGUCUAGAAGUUUUGAGACUGAGGUAAGUUCUUAGCCUCAGAUUCCAUCUUAUUUAAAGUUAGAAUGAAUAUUUGUCCCUCCUUUUCUUUGGGCCUCUUCUGGGCUUUGGUGUCCGCGAAUUCUCAGCUGUCAUCCGCAGUUCACAGUUCGUUCUCUGUCCUGACUCCUUUGUAACCUGGGAGGCAGUCUGCUUGGGCUCAGGCCUCUGAAACUGCUCAGUAAAUCAGCUCAAGGGAAUCCAGGGAGUUCUGUCUGGCUCCUGAGUUAUGUGCCCGGUCACAGUGCUGCUGCUUUAGGGGGAGCUCCCAAGGGAGGACCGUCUGCAGCUCAGUUACGUCCUCCUGACGUGAACCUCCUGCCUGGCUGGGGGCUCACUUCCCCCCUCUGAAGCCCUUGCUCAUGCUCUGCCAGUGCCCAGGAGGUGCGGCCUCACGGAGGCCAGGGGCGAGAGGAGGCCCAGCUCUCCCCAGCUGCCGUGUCUGAUGCGCUGCCUCGGAAGCACCUGUGGCCAUUGGGCGGCUUCUGCCCUGUGGCUGGUUGGCCUGUGCAGCUUCUGCUCCACGAUGUCCUUGAAUGCGUCCUUCCCAGGCUCCUAAGCAUUGGGUGUUUUUUGAGCCAUAUAGAAAUGUGAAGUUCGUGAAGAAAGAAACAUCCAAAAAGGCCAAUGAUCUGCCCCUCAGCCUCACCCCCAGGGAGGAGCUGGCCCGGUGCUUGUGGGCCUCUCCCAGGUGCAGCCUGCCCUGGCGCUAGCGAUGCCUCCGGGAUCUUCCAGAGGAAGGUGAGACAGGCAACAGGAUGGAGUAAUCGCAGCCUCUAAGAAACACAUUUCACAGCAGAUUAGGAAAACAGACGUGGCAAGAGGUGGGCCGACAGUGCGGGAGGCGGUUCCUUCCCACUGUGGGCUUCCCGUCUGACUUUACAGCAAGGCCGCUUCCACACGGGGGUCUCCAAGCCCACCCUGGUGCCUCGCUGCACGCAGGCUGAGCGCUUUCUUCCAAGGCAGACAGCGGUAAUUUAAUUUUCUCUUUUUCAGUCGUGUUUUUGUUAUUUAGAAAACACUUUUCUUUCAACAUUUGCCACAUCAGUAGAAGUAAAUUAAAACGUUCGUUACCUCACGUGUGGUUAUUUGUGUGCUGAGGAUACCCCGCUUGCUGUGCUGGACUGAGCUCUUGAGGACGGAGGCACUUCUGUUUUCUCACAGUCAUCGCCCCCGGGUGCUUCGGACACGGGAGGUGCUCAGUGAAUGGUGGCGCGGGGGAUGGCUGAGUGGCAGUUGUGUCUGCAGGACAGAGUCAUAUCGGAAUGUACAAGCGCAAUUGGAUAUGCAGACUUUUAUUCCUGGAGGCUACAGUCUGGUCCCUCAAUGACCCCACACCCCCCUCAAUUAUUUACAAAAUUCCAUUUGACAUAAACUGGAGUCAAGAGGGGGGUCUAGUCGUGGCUGUGGUUUACCCAGUGACAUGUAGAUGUUCAAGGUCCCAGGUAUGGUAAAAGCACAAGUAGGAAAUUUAAGUUUUGGGGCCUCACAAUAAAAUGGCAGAUGGUUAACAUCAUCAGCUCUUCCAAAUCUCACUAAAAUGCUCAGGAAGACGCAAAGAGGAGGCAUGGCCCUCCUACUAAGGAAGGUUCCGCUAAUCUCGGACUGACUCCUAAUGAACAGAUGGCUGGUCCUGGACUGGAGAACAUGGCACAGAACCGGGCAGCCUCUGCACCCUGAGGUCCACAUCUGCCCCCGAGACAGCAGCUCCUCCAAGCAGUGGGUGCUGCCCUGGGCGACAGCACCACCGUCCAACAGCACCUCUGGCCUCCCAUCCUCUUGGAGACUCAACACCAGGAACGCCCCGCAGGUGGUGAAAUGCCAAAAUGUAAUUUCGCCAGAAAUAAUCUCUGAAGAUACAGAGAUUAGCAUAGUCACACACAGUCCUGAAUGCGGAAGUAGGCUUUUAAAAAUAGUUGAUUUAGAAUAUCUGAGAGACAGUGAAGCCUGGGAGAGAAGAUGCUGCUUUAGCUGAGCUGAUCCUGGAAAAGCGUCUGCCUGGGCAGGACUGUAGACAGUCCCCACUCACUCCAGGGAGUAGACAAGAGGAAGGGUGCACCUGGCCCUGUCCCCAAUCCAGUGUGUAGACAAGAGCCAGGGUCCACCCCGCCCUGCUUGUUGGCAGCCCGUCUGGAGAGGACCCCAUGACAGCAGAGGCAGUGCCGCGGAACGAAUCAUCGCACAGCAGCAAAGGUGUGAUAUACUGCACGGGGACCAGCCUCUAUAUGAUUCCAGGUGUGAGCCACCAUGCCCAGGCCUCUCUAGGAUUCCAGGUGUGAGCAGCGUGCCCGGCCUAUAUAUGAUUCCAGUUGUGAGCUACUGAAUCUGGCCCAGCCCAUCUGAUCUUGCAUGUUGUCCACGUUUUCCAUCACAGCCUUUAAUGUGUCAGUCAUAGUUAUUUAAAAUCCCCUUUCAAAUAGUUCCAA